UAGGGAAUCUUCGGCAAUGGACAAAGUCUGACCGAGCAACGCCGCGUGAGUGAAGAAGGUUUUCGGAUCGUAAAACUCUGUUGGUAGAGAAGAACGUUGGUGAGAGUGGAAAGCUCAUCAAGUGACGGUAACUACCCAGAAAGGGACGGCUAACUACGUGCCAG
This 164-nucleotide ribosomal RNA is filed under the name uncultured bacterium. Its description in RNAcentral is "partial 16S ribosomal RNA". It matches the Rfam family "Bacterial small subunit ribosomal RNA", at positions 355 to 511 of the family's 1533-position model. The record is from RNAcentral.